Molecule: long non-coding RNA, 215 nt
Filed under: Phaseolus vulgaris (common bean)
Lineage: Eukaryota; Viridiplantae; Streptophyta; Magnoliopsida; Fabales; Fabaceae
Description: long non-coding RNA (PVUL_LNC003555)
Source: RNAcentral
ACGGCUUCACCCCAGUUAUACAUACUCAAGGAAUCUAAGUUAUCUAACAAAAAAAAAACGGAAAACUAAGGAAAGACUUAAAUGUUUGCGGAAAAUAGAAAACAACAAAUCCAAGCAAUAUAUACAAUCUACAGAAUACAUCAACAUCUUUUUUUUUUCUUCUUAUUUUAGUAUCAUUCAACUUCUUCACAAUGCUGGCAAUUGUAAUGUCCUCA